UAGUGUGAUGGCAGAUUAGUGCAUUAGGUUUAAACCCUAAAAAUGAAUAUUAACUAUUCUCACAUUAA
This 68-nucleotide transfer RNA is filed under the name Ozobranchus jantseanus. RNAcentral describes it as "tRNA-Leu". It matches the Rfam family "tRNA". From Rfam's summary of the family: Transfer RNA (tRNA) molecules are approximately 80 nucleotides in length. Lineage: Eukaryota; Metazoa; Annelida; Clitellata; Hirudinida; Ozobranchidae. The record is from RNAcentral.